UUAUUUGAAAUAUUAGUUAUAAAAAAAGAAGAAGAAGAAAUCAGUCAUCAAUUUGUUCAGGAAGAACAAAAAAAUAAACGAUGUUGUUCAAAAAUGGCAGCUGUUUAUUAAGAAAAAAAGAAGGGCACCCAUCGUGUUGAACGGGCUUCAAACAAAUGACAAUUGAUAAGUGUGACAGGUGAUUGAAUGAUGAAAAACAAAGACUUGGAAUUAGUGGAACGAUGAAGGAAACGUAUAAUUUCUUCCAUCCAUCCAUGGUGCAUCUCUGGUGGUAUAUACACAAGGAAGGUAACAGUGGAAUUUCUCUCUGGAGAGGACCUACGUGCAUUUCUCGCUGUGGCCGCAGAAA
Molecule: long non-coding RNA, 349 nt
Filed under: Apis mellifera (honey bee)
Lineage: Eukaryota; Metazoa; Arthropoda; Insecta; Hymenoptera; Apidae
Description: uncharacterized LOC113219214, transcript variant X2
Source: RNAcentral